GCACUCGUAGCUUAAUAGGAUAAAGCGUCGGCUUGCGGAGCCGAAGACUGUGAGUUCGAUUCUCACCGGGUGCA
RNAcentral lists this transfer RNA (74 nucleotides) under Patescibacteria group bacterium. RNAcentral describes it as "tRNA-Arg". It matches the Rfam family "tRNA". Rfam says of the family: Transfer RNA (tRNA) molecules are approximately 80 nucleotides in length. Their secondary structure includes four short double-helical elements and three loops (D, anti-codon, and T loops). The record is from RNAcentral.